This is a long non-coding RNA of Hyla sarda, 1331 nucleotides long. RefSeq lists it as uncharacterized. The record is from RefSeq and is a predicted model, not a curated record. Lineage: Eukaryota; Metazoa; Chordata; Amphibia; Anura; Hylidae. The transcript has 3 exons.
UCCCUAAGAUCGGCUGUGCUGCACAUGCACAGCCAAACAUCCUUAAAGCCAGCCAGGGACCAAUCACAACAGUCCCUGAAUGAUAACCACUCCUAUUGGUCUGUCACAGACCAAUAGGAUUUAAGUGCGAGGUGGGAGCGGUGUCUUUUCCUCCCCUUCUCCUCCAAUGGCAGAGAAGGCCACAGCAGAGAGACCCACUGCAGCUGUCAGGAUCAGAGCUUACAGAUGCUGUUGGCCUGCAACAUCUGCGGCCUAUCUUCAGCACACACAUCACGGCUUGGAAUGCAGUCCAAAAGCCAUCGCAUCUCCUUGUCCUCAACACCUGUGUUCCUGACAUCGCAUGAGCCCCCUUAUCUGGCCAGAAACUCUAUUCUAAACGCUCCGUGCAAUGACAGAUGCAGGGAAGAUAUUAAUGAAAACGGGAUCUGGCAGGUAUCCACGUGUAGGAAAAUGAACUGAGCCAUUGGCACUUUCUUCAAAAGAAGAUUGUGAUUGACCCACGUUGAUGGCGGGACAACAGGGUGUUUGUGGAUGGGGCAAGAUGGUAUUAACCCCAGGGGCAAGGUGUUGUUAACCCCUAAUGUUCAUGAUGCCAGAGUGGUUUUUGGGUACCGGAACCACACGAACGGUAUCUCCGCUAUUCCAAUGACUAGCCAGUGAAAGGAGAGUCCACAACCAAGUUAUGGUUUAACGGAGGCUUUACUGAGUUCAGACAGUUGUCUCUACAGCUCGGCCAGAAUCCUAGAGAAAUGACCAGUAACAUGGAAAGGGCCCUGCAGCUUGCUGGGACUUGUAAUUAUAGUAAUAAACUGUAGUUGAGCCAUGCAGACUAGGAUAGACUUGAUCAGUGUCUUGACUUUAGUAGAGACAGCAGAAAUAGAUGAGAUGGCUUACUGACAAUGUGGCUGGUGUGCAGGUUUUGUGGCCUCCAGGUGUACUGGACACAGGAUCUGUGAUGACUGUGCUUUGCUGUCCCUCAGCAGAAAGAGAGAUAAUUGCAAUGGCCGCCCCCUUAUAUAGAGGGGGGUUGAGGCAAAGCCCAUUGGUCAAGCUGCAGGUCAAGUGUUAAACUGGUGCCCUCUGGGUAACAUAAUGUGACAACAUAACAUAACAUGUGACAUUUCACAGGUCCUUUAGAUAACUGCUGGAGUCCUCCAAAGGUCCUUUAGUCUGUCUAUAGUUUAAGACACUGACUAUUCUUAAAAUAAAAUAUAUUAAAGUAGAGUAACAGCAGGGGAGACAAUGCAGGAGAGCAAACAGGUCACUGAGGGACUCAACCUGACAGGGCCUAAGGGUAGUACAAAACCAUGUUCUGUACUGGGACAUUUCAA